GAUGAACGCUCGCGGCGUGCUUAACACAUGCAAGUCGAACGGUGAACACGGAGCUUGCUCUGUGGGAUCAGUGGCGAACGGGUGAGUAACACGUGAGCAACCUGCCCCUGACUCUGGGAUAAGCGCUGGAAACGGCGUCUAAUACUGGAUAUGUGACGUGACCGCAUGGUCUGCGUUUGGAAAGAUUUUUCGGUUGGGGAUGGGCUCGCGGCCUAUCAGCUUGUUGGUGAGGUAAUGGCUCACCAAGGCGUCGACGGGUAGCCGGCCUGAGAGGGUGACCGGCCACACUGGGACUGAGACACGGCCCAGACUCCUACGGGAGGCAGCAGUGGGGAAUAUUGCACAAUGGGCGCAAGCCUGAUGCAGCAACGCCGCGUGAGGGAUGACGGCCUUCGGGUUGUAAACCUCUUUUAGCAGGGAAGAAGCGAAAGUGACGGUACCUGCAGAAAAAGCGCCGGCUAACUACGUG
This 469-nucleotide ribosomal RNA is filed under the name uncultured bacterium. RNAcentral's name for it is "partial 16S ribosomal RNA". It matches the Rfam family "Bacterial small subunit ribosomal RNA", at positions 28 to 507 of the family's 1533-position model. The record is from RNAcentral.